Molecule: long non-coding RNA, 1740 nt
Organism: Athene cunicularia (burrowing owl)
Lineage: Eukaryota; Metazoa; Chordata; Aves; Strigiformes; Strigidae
Exons: 5
Source: RefSeq, a predicted model, not a curated record
UCUACACAUGUUGCUUAGAUUUUACACAUGAUGAUGAAGACAAAUUUCAGCUUCAGAAGCAGAGCUUUACAUUACAUCAUGAAAGAAAUGCAGCUUACCUGCACUGCCAGACAAACAUUGAUGCCACCUAUCAGCAGAGUUAAUCUGCAGAGGCACAAACCUGAGCCCUCGCCUCCAAGAGUCCGUUCGGAUAAGCAGGCUCUCCCAACGAUGUAUGGCCGUCACGCGGGUCACAGCGAGUCUCUGGUUUCACAGAGGGCAGUCUUCAUGCCGAAAUGUACAGCUCAUACAGAGCUCCUGUGGGAGGGGUAUGGGAUUCAGCCUGAGGAGGUGAGUACAAGGAAGGGUUUAAGCAUUUCACGGUUAGACCGGCAUCUGUAACACGUGAUGGCAGGCGAGGGAGCACAGGGCAGGAAGCCUGCUGUCAGAGGAGCGGUGUCUGCGCUUGGUUACCAAGCUCCACUCUUGUCCACACAUCCUUUGGGCAGGAUGGUUGAGGGAAUAGUAAACACUUGUAUUUUCCUAUGGAUUGAUUUAAAAAGCAUUUAGUGUGAUCCUAUGUUUGUCAAUGAGGUAUCCCCAAGCAGAGUGCGUGCUUGGCUGCCCCUGUACUGAGGAGGGCUUAAUGAAGCUGAUAGGAACAGUACUCGUGGCUUUUCUGGAUCCAACCUUUCAUUUCUGGAGACACAUCAGCCUGAAUCUUCUUGAGGUUGCAGUCACUGCAGCCAUGCCUGGGAAUGCAACUGUGCUUUUCCAAGAUCAGGCUCCUGUGAGCAGAGAGGGAGGCAGCUGAGUGGGUGUCCAGGAUUGCUCAGUUUGGUUUUCCAUUGUUAGUAUCCCAUCUUUCCUGUGCAUCCAUUGUCUAAUUGAGUUCUUGCUGCACAUUGCAGACAUUCAUCAUUACAAUGGAUCUAACGCAUUCACACACUGUCACAGACUAAAUCUGGUUCUGCAUGGUUGGCUUUAUGGUGGUACAUUUUUCAGUGAAGAUAAGAGCUUUUAAUGAUGAAGCAGAGAGUAUUAAAAAAUAGAAUUUACUGCAUUAAAGAUCUGUUCAGCUUUUACCUCCAAAUUCUGCCAUCUUCACUACUUUGUUUAAUAUUUUACUUCACUGCUGUGUCCAGUCCUUUUUCCUCUGAAGUCCUGGUGACUGCAGUGGGAAUGGGAAUGGGAAUAGAAACAAUGACAGGACACCUUCCUGCCAAGAGAGUCAUCCCAGUUUAUGCUCUAUGGAAAUGAGUGAGGGAUGCAGAAGCCUCAAAGGAUGGUUCAUGGUGCUUUUGGUGUGACCACUGAAGAAAGAGGAGACAUAAGCCACGGUACUGAAGUAGAUAAAUGGACUGAGAUAAUGAGACUGCAGUAACCAGAGGAAUACAGGAAUUGUGAAAAGAACAUUCAUAAAGAUGAUGUAGCUGAACAAAUGCAGCUUAAAGAACCAACGAUGGAGGAAUACCACUGUUUCUCUUUCAAAUAAAAAAGCUGUCUUGGGCUGAUGUGAACAAGAGAGAAGACAGACUUUUGAGACAACCAAAUUCAUCACCCCUUCAUUCUAACUUUGAAAUCCCACUGGAAGCAAAGUUAGAAAAAAUUACCCUAGUUUUUUCAUUACAUUCUCCUGGCUAAAAACCUACCAUGAAUUUCUGUGAAAUGGUUUGAAAAGGCAGUGGUAUAUGAAAAUUGUCAAAUCUACUUAGUAAUUUGGGUGUUUGUAUAAUUUUUUUUUCCCCAGUGUUGACUAUC